UACAGAGACUGCAAGCGUUAUUCGGAUUCACUGGGCGUAAAGGGUGCGCAGGCGGCCAAGUGUGUGAGGCGUGAAAGCCCGGGGCUUAACCCCGGAAUUGCACCUCAAACUACAUGGCUAGAGCAUUGGAGAGGGUAGCAGAAUUCAUGGUGUAGCAGUGAAAUGCGUAGAUAUCAUGAGGAAUACCAGAGGCGAAGGCGGCUACCUGGACCGGCAUUGACGCUGAGGCGCGAAAGCUAGGGGAGCAAACGGG
RNAcentral lists this ribosomal RNA (253 nucleotides) under uncultured bacterium. RNAcentral's name for it is "partial 16S ribosomal RNA". It matches the Rfam family "Bacterial small subunit ribosomal RNA", at positions 524 to 776 of the family's 1533-position model. The record is from RNAcentral.